CAACAAUCCUACCUCUCAUCUAAUACACUACAAAGUCACCUUUUGGUAUCUUUGUCCAGUUAUGAGAAGCCCCAGCCAUCCGGGAAGCCAUCGUUAUGGUGCAGUGGAAUGCUUGCUAUAUUUCCUCAUGGAGAUGCACCUCUGGUGACAGGUGCUGACAGAAUUUCCAUCUUUGAGAGUGGCGGUACAGAGAACAUAGCUUCUAUGAUGCAUUGUCAGCUGACGGCUUAAAGUUCCCUCCUGUGUUUUCAAAGCCAGCAAUUGCAGGCUGCAUUGCUCUCACACUGUGAAUCUUCCUGUCCACUCCCACCUUGUACCAGAAUUAUGAGUAAGAUGAAUAGUCUGUUGUGGGACUCAUGAGAUCGACCAUCUCGUUCUAAUAUUACCACUAAAUGACCAGCUGGCUUUCGAUUUCUCCCCAUGCUGUAUUUACACAAUUAAUUUUGGAUGGGAGAGGUGGGACCUUCAGUGUACCUCAGGCUAACACGUUGACCAGUGGGAGCUCUGCAGGCACCUUGGAGAUACCAGGGAUCCCUCCUCUGCAUAUCAAGAAAUGCCGUAUACAUGAAGUCCCUGCAGGCAGCCAUGUGACAAGAUGAACACAACCCCUAUCGUGGGAGCUCCAGGUUCUGUGGAGAUCAAAUCAGUUCCAGGGUAGGAACGCUGUUUGUUUCGGUCCGAUAAGAGCCACGCCCUCCUGUUUAAUCUUGAAGGGCAUGUUUUGGGCUCCAUCUCUCUGGUUCUCCGUUCAUCCCAGAGAUGUUGCUGGACUUUGGGAGGGAGAAAGCAGUGUUCCAUGCGUGCCCCCUUAAGCCCUAGUAGCAAUCCUUUUGGACCAGUGGCAAAGUGAUUUCUCAGCUGUGAACUAACAGUUUUCUUUGGAAUGAAUUGUGCUCUUUCAAUUUUCCACUUCAAAAGCACACACUUUAGCAGAAGUCACUUUAUAGCAAAUGAAGAGAGGAAUUUCCCCUGGGGAGAGGGGUUUGAUAGUUACAGGAGGG
Long non-coding RNA from Mus musculus (house mouse), 1001 nucleotides. RefSeq annotates it as predicted gene, 31698. NCBI's taxonomy places the organism in Eukaryota, Metazoa, Chordata, Mammalia, Rodentia, Muridae. The record is from RefSeq and is a predicted model, not a curated record. The transcript has 6 exons.